Molecule: ribosomal RNA, 445 nt
Filed under: uncultured bacterium
Lineage: Bacteria
Description: SSU rRNA
Rfam family: Bacterial small subunit ribosomal RNA
Source: RNAcentral
AGAACGAACGCUGGCGGCAGGCUUAACACAUGCAAGUCGAACGCUCGUAGCGAUACGAGAGUGGCAGACGGGUGAGUAACACGUGGGAACGUUCCCCUCGGUUCGGAAUAACUCAGGGAAACUUGAGCUAAUACCGGAUACGUCCGCGAGGAGAAAGAUUCAUCGCCGAGGGAUCGGCCCGCGUCUGAUUAGCUAGUUGGUGAGGUAACGGCUCACCAAGGCGACGAUCAGUAGCUGGUCUGAGAGGAUGACCAGCCACACUGGGACUGAGACACGGCCCAGACUCCUACGGGAGGCAGCAGUGGGGAAUCUUGGACAAUGGGCGCAAGCCUGAUCCAGCCAUGCCGCGUGAGUGAUGAAGGCCCUAGGGUUGUAAAGCUCUUUCGGCGGGGACGAUAAUGACGGUACCGCAGAAGAGCCCGGCUAACUUCGCGCCAGCAGCCGC